Molecule: long non-coding RNA, 497 nt
Organism: Esox lucius (northern pike)
Lineage: Eukaryota; Metazoa; Chordata; Actinopteri; Esociformes; Esocidae
Exons: 4
Source: RefSeq, a predicted model, not a curated record
GUUAAACAUAGGAUUUGCAGCCACUUUACUUCACCGCUUCAUCAAUCCACUUUCCAAAAGUGCUUCCUACACUUCUCUAUAUUGAUAGCUCGAGAAGCCACCUUCCGAAGUAGAGUGCAUCAUGUUUUCACCAGAUCCUCACCCGAGUUUUGCGAGUGUCAACACAACUGCAGACCCUGUGUGUUCCCCCGUGACUGCCUCCCUCCCUCCCCCCAGUUCACCACAGGCUCCAUGCGUCCAGAUCUCAGACAUGUGGCCGUUGUGCCAUGAGCGUUCUGUGAGGUGGCUGGGAAGCAUAUGGGCUGAAAGGGACAGCACCUCUGGAGUUCCUGGGACAUAAGCUUCAUUGUCCACACCCUGCCCUUCAUGUCACUUAAUGGUUGUUGUCUCUUGAGGGAAAAGGGACUCGAGGUCAGUCCAAUAUCUGUCCGGAUUUAAAUGCAAAGCCUCCCAACCAGGAGGCCCUAACUCAUGCACAACUGGUGGGGUGUGCUCAA